This 482-nucleotide ribosomal RNA is filed under the name uncultured bacterium. RNAcentral's name for it is "partial 16S ribosomal RNA". It matches the Rfam family "Bacterial small subunit ribosomal RNA", at positions 28 to 507 of the family's 1533-position model. The record is from RNAcentral.
GACGAACGCUGGCGGCGUGCCUAACACAUGCAAGUCGAACGGAACUGUUUUGAAAGAUUUCUUCGGAAUGAAUUUGAUUUAGUUUAGUGGCGGACGGGUGAGUAACGCGUGAGUAACCUGCCUUCAAGAGGGGAAUAACAUUCUGAAAAGAAUGCUAAUACCGCAUGACAUAUCGGAACCACAUGGUUUUGAUAUCAAAGAUUUUAUCGCUUGAAGAUGGACUCGCGUCCGAUUAGUUAGUUGGUGAGGUAACGGCUCACCAAGACCGCGAUCGGUAGCCGGACUGAGAGGUUGAACGGCCACAUUGGGACUGAGACACGGCCCAGACUCCUACGGGAGGCAGCAGUGGGGGAUAUUGCGCAAUGGGGGCAACCCUGACGCAGCAACGCCGCGUGAAGGAGGAAGGUUUUCGGAUUGUAAACUUCUUUUAUUAAGGACGAAAAAUGACGGUACUUAAUAAAUAAGCUCCGGCUAACUACGUG